RNAcentral lists this ribosomal RNA (214 nucleotides) under Pichia kudriavzevii. RNAcentral's name for it is "partial 26S ribosomal RNA". It matches the Rfam family "Eukaryotic large subunit ribosomal RNA", at positions 56 to 281 of the family's 3401-position model. The record is from RNAcentral. Lineage: Eukaryota; Fungi; Ascomycota; Pichiomycetes; Pichiales; Pichiaceae.
GAGACAAAGGUAUUGCCUCAGUAGCGGCGAGUGAAGCGGCAAGAGCUCAGAUUUGAAAUCGUGCUUUGCGGCACGAGUUGUAGAUUGCAGGUUGGAGUCUGUGUGGAAGGCGGUGUCCAAGUCCCUUGGAACAGGGCGCCCAGGAGGGUGAGAGCCCCGUGGGAUGCCGGCGGAAGCAGUGAGGCCCUUCUGACGAGUCGAGUUGUUUGGGAAU